Long non-coding RNA from Rosa chinensis, 257 nucleotides. RefSeq lists it as uncharacterized. The record is from RefSeq and is a predicted model, not a curated record. NCBI's taxonomy places the organism in Eukaryota, Viridiplantae, Streptophyta, Magnoliopsida, Rosales, Rosaceae. The transcript has 3 exons.
GACAGGGUUAUACCAGUGGUUGCUUUGAAUAUAGCUAUUAGUUCAGAUUCCAUGGCUCAUGGAAAUAAAAGAUCAAGGCUUUUGAGUAGCAGAUGAUUAGAUACUUAAAGCCAUGAAGGUUUAGCUUGUCACCAUCAAACACUAGAGAAAAACCACCAGUUUGAUAGUUGGUAAGCAAUAUGCUUGCAAGACCCUGAACCAACCAGCACAACUAAGCAAUAUGCAUGCAACUCCAUUUGAGCUCUCAUUCUGCCUUC